RNAcentral lists this unclassified non-coding RNA (215 nucleotides) under Hevea brasiliensis (rubber tree). Lineage: Eukaryota; Viridiplantae; Streptophyta; Magnoliopsida; Malpighiales; Euphorbiaceae. The record is from RNAcentral.
CGAGCAACAAAACAAAAACAGUAAACUAGCCAGCCUUAAUCGCCUAACCUAACAAAGUAGAGCCAGCUAGCCACACUGUGCAGAGAUAACUUUCUCAAUCUGGAACGAAGAAAAAGCAAAAAUAAAAUACCUCCCUUAAUCUAUUUUAUUGGAGCAUCUGCGAUGGCAUCAAAAUCCUUCUUGCUCCUGACAACACAUCGUUUUUUCGUUUCCUG